ACCUUCUUCCCCGCCGCGGUACGCCUCCUGCCUCCAUCCCCCUCACGUCACGUCGCCUGCUCUUCCUCCUGUCCUUUUGCUUGCCUUCCCUGCCUCUUCUUGCGUGCGCCGUUGUCCCGUGUGACUGCGUAGACGGGCCGGGUGCACAUCUCCUCUGGUGAAGUGUGCCCCCGCCCCCGCCUCGGCUCCCCUCGUGCACGCACUACCGUGAUCUUCUCCCCCAUCCCCGAUCCGAAAUCUCCUCGCCCACACUUUCCAUGGAAGGCGCCCAGCAGGUCCGCGCGAUCCACUCCCCCACCCUAUCUCUAGGUCGAUCCGCGCGAUCCACUCCCCUGAUCUGCCUCACAUCCAUGGAAGUAUCCGAUCUGCCGCUUCCAAACUCUCCACAGUGCCCCCGCCCCGACGUGCCCCUCCCCCGUCCGUCUCCAGCGUGCUCGUCGCCCCCGGCUGCCCGUGCCCCUGCGGCCCUGCCCCUGCCCCGCGAUGCGCUCUGCUCGCCAAGCACGCCCACUCCCCAUGCCCGCCACCCCCGGUGCCGCGAUGCCCGCCUAACCCCCCUUCCCCUGCGACGACGGCAUGUUGCGCGGAUCGGCAUGGUUGUGCGAAUCGGCGCGACGUGGGAGCUCGGCCGCAUGAGGUGCCUCGUCGACGGUGGUCCAUGGACAUGCCCCACGCCAUCGCCCCCGGCCUCGCGUUGCUCACGAAAGUCCCCCAGCCCCUGCGUCAGAAAUUAUAAUUUGGGUCAGAGAAAUGCAGUUCAUUCUUAUAAGCCCCACAAUCUACAUGUUCAUUCUGCUAAGCCCCUCGACUCUCGAUGGCAAUGGUGAGCAGGCUGCCGCCACGCUGCGGAGCCAACGCUCCCCACAACACCCGCGGUCCUGGAAGGUGAGGAGAGCACUGCCCUUCUUCCAACGAGGUAAGGAACUGACAAAUGCGCGUGGUGUGUUACGCUUACCAUGUAGGAGACGGUGGAGAGGGGUCUGGAGGAUAACAUGAGUAUUGUGGAGGUAGACGACGUCUCCUGAAAAUGCUAAAUUUAGUUUAUGUGCUGCUUCUGAAUGCAGGCGAUCAGUUUUUUAUUGGUUUUAUCUGUCGGGUCCAAUUAGAAGGUCUCUGUCUAACCUAUUACUGUUAGAUAUCAUAGCGCUCAAUGUUGGAGGCACCUAUGUUCUUCUUGCAGGGUACCUGAAUCUUGGCUUUUGAUCGGUUUGUCAUGGCAUACAUUGGCACACUUUCUUAUAAGUGGCGGUGUCGUGUUUAGCAUAACACACGAUGAUUAUUUUUUUUGUCUAAUCUGUUCAAGAGGGUGUCCUUUUACAAAGGGACAUACAGAUGUUGUUUGAUCUCAGUUCAUUGUAACUUUUUGAGGGUGCCAGUGGGGGUGGUAAUGGGCUCUAAAUUUGCACUAUAAAAUUUAAGAAUCGGAUCGGAUUAGGAUCAGACUAUUUCUUUUUAAACUAAAAUUAAUUAAGGGCUCAAUCAAAUUAUGAAGAAAUAUUUGGAUAGUGGUCCAUUAUAAUCCCUAGGUGCCGGUGGACGUUUAAAGGAUCUCCGGCCCUUGAAUUUUUCUUCUUUGUCUCUAGCCAGGCUAGGCAAGGUUAAGUAAAUGAACUGAAUAUGUCCAAUGUAGCCUUUUUCCUGUGAUUAUUUAUAAUCUAUAAAUUGAAUGAUGCUACCGUGAGGACUUGGAUAAUUCAACGAAAUUUCUCGAAUUCAUUUUUUUAGUUUCUUGUAGCGUUGAUCGUGAUUGGAAGACGAUUGAAGCAUGUGUCGGCUCAAAGACUGUUAUACAGGUUCAGAAGAAUGGUGCGCGCGAGCAUCUACCCCCACCUCAGGCCAAAACGAAAGGCAGCUCAUCCAUGUCCAUAGAAAGCAUCUAAUAAUGUUUCUCAAACUAUUUUAUUACAAGGACAACCUACCCAGCGGCAGCAAGGUUCUGUCAUGCCUAUGGAUACUGCUACUGUGAGAAACACAAAUGUGAAUGUGGCAGUGCCGUCGUGGGACGAUUUUUUUUUCUCGAAAGCGCAGGGGAACUGCACGGCCGCCGUGGGACGAUACUCUUGCUCAAUCUCUUAGUGCUGGUGCAACAAAUAACUGUUCAGGUAGCACAGAGAGUCCGUCUGGUACUUGGCCAACUUCUGAAGCAGUUGAGCAAGAAAUUAUGGUUCCAUCACUCCGUGUGGUUGAGCUGAUGGCUUUCAACUGAGUUUGAGAAACAUCUGACGCCCUAUCUGCAACAACCCUGAUUAUUGACAGCAAGCCUAGCAAGGGUCAGCGCAAUUCUUGCAGAAAUUUGUUUGGGCGAAAUAUUAGUUGUUACUGAUUCUAAGCUUGGAAAUGUUAUAAAAGAAAAGCUGGUUAGUGGUGUUUGUCAAUUUAUUGCUUUCUUUACAUGGAUAAGCCAUCCUUAAAUAUUCAACGCGCUAUUGCAUAAAAUUGGCUAUCUCUACAAUAGUGUUGUGAUGGAGCUGAUGUGAGGGCUGAGAAAUCAGCUCAUUGAGCUUAUAAGUGGGUUGGGUACAUAAGACCUGGGUCCAAUGAGCUUGGGAUUGUCACACAACUUGUUUUUGGCUUAGUGGGUUCAGUCCCGAGAAGGUGAGUCUUGUAUUGGUGCUACCGGCCAUCUUAUUUAUCAUGUUGUUAUGUGCUCCAUUUUUUGCUUUUAUUGUAUCAACAUUUGUCCUUGGCAUGAAAUCAUCUGGAAACAUCUCUCAACUAAAAACAUGAAAUCAUCUGGAAACAUCUCUCAACUAAAAACAAUGUCAGGGAUCAAUCUUUUUACCGAAGUCUCUAUUCUUGUCUGAACAUUAUGCAAGUGGUUUUCUUUGAAAUCAUAAGCAUGGAGUGCAUCUAUUUAAAGAUAAAGCUUGGACAACCAAUCAUUUAUUAUCCGAGAAUUUAAUUUGGUUUUAUUAAUUAAUUUAAACCUUUCUAUAGGAAGAGAGUGGCUCUUCACUCCCAUCGGACUGACAAAAAGCUAACGUUCCGGAGAAAGAAAUGUAGUUUGGUUAUGUGGUUUUGCAGACCUGUAUCUAUUUGUGUAAUACAUUUGCCUGUAUAUGUGCAGCUUAUGUCCAUAAUUCUUCAAGUCUACAUAUGACUGCAUCAUUCUUCAGCCUUCUAGACUCCUUCCACUUCUGCCCCUCGGAUACAAGGUUAGUUUGAGACCGUGAGCAAGCAUACCCAUCCAUCUUUUUCUCUUUCUUCAACCAUAUAGGUACAACAAUAAUUCAUCUGCCUGCUACUAAGACAUAUCUGCUCUUUUCAUUGUUCUGAGUUGGGUAAUCAUUUCUGCUCAGAUUAACAAGUAUUCAGUACACCAAUUUUUUAAUCUUUAUAAGAUAAGAAGCAAAGUCAACAAACCAUGGAGCAUGUAGUAUCGUAGCUAUUUGUGCCAGAGAUAUUUUAGCUACAGUUUGAUAAUAAUAUUCAAUAGACAUAUUUUCAUUGACAUAAUAUUCAGUAGGCCUAUUUUAGCUACAGUUUGAUCACCAUCUAAGCCGUAGCUAUUUGUGCCAGAGAUGACCACUCCUUUAUUUUUUGUUCCUGUGUGCCAAAACAGUGCUUGCAUGUUUUCCACACAGAAAUUCACUAAUACAUAAAUCUGGACGAGUGCAUUUGAUAUCUAUGUGAUUACAUGGUGAAAAUAGGCCUUUUGAUGGCCUGCUCGGAUUCUCCUAGGUAAAAAUGGUAAAGUUACUUUUACUGAGCAUGCACAUGCGAGUUGAGUAUCCUGUAUUUUUUGGAAUUUGAGUUUAUUCAUGAGUUCCUUUAUGGUGUGAUGAUAUCUGCAUGCAAACUAGAAUUCUGCUCCAAACUUGCAUAUGAAAUGAUGAAAUGCAAUGAACAAUACUUUUUGAGCUGUUGUAAAGUUUAAUCUCUACUACACCAUAUGUUGGUAACGAGGGCGUCCACCGGCAUCACCACGCCUCCGCCCUCACCCUCCCCCCCGCCAAUCUCGCAGCAGCGCGCCAUCCCAGCUCGGAAAUCUCGCAUCGGCUCUCACCGCGUCGAAGCCAUUCCCCAGUCGUCACCAGCGCGACACCAUUCCCUCCCUGUUCAAGCCCUUCCCCACCGGAGACCUCUCCCUUCCCCACUUCCCCACUGUGGUCCCCCUUCCCCACCCACCGUAGACUGCACCAUUCACCGGAUACCGCUUCCUCCAAUCCCAUCUCGACCCUCUGCCCUCCUCGGGUUCCUAGAGCACAUGAGCAGGGGAGGUUUCCACCAGGCCGAGGCGCCAUACCAGUCCGCUCUCGCUGCACGCGUCGUCGCGUGGGCCAUUGACUUCAGCUUCUCCUUCCUCAUCAUCGAGGACCUCGUCACCAGUGGGUCCUCCAUGCUCGAGAUCGCCGCCCCACUCCGCGUCGAGGGGCUCGUGGUCGCCGACGCCAUCGUUGUCGUCAACCCUGAGCAGGGCGACAGGAAGAACCUCAGCUAAUGGGAUCAUGCUGCACUCGCUCAUGACCCUAAUAGAGUUCCUAAGGUGAUUCAUAUACAUUGUAAGUGAAACGAAGAACAUGCAUUUUUAUGGGUGUUAUACUGCUAAUGGUAGUUUCCCCUUAUAAUUAAUUUAAUAGUUUAAUAAAAGAUAACACACCCAGCACUUGAUUUUUGUCAAAGGUUUUGCAAACAUGUUACCUAUCUGGUUAAUUUUGGAUUUUUUAAAUUCUACUUCAGAAAUAGCAGCUUCACAUGACUUUUCUUCACUGGUAAUUGAUGCUUCGAUGUUGGAGGAAAUAUGAUUUUAAAAUAAAAACCUCAACAGUUGGGUUGAUCAGUUCACUUGCUUUAAGAAGUAUAGUACUGAUAGUAUGAGAAUGGACUACACCAAUAAAAAAGGUUAAUGCUUCCAUACCUAAUGGGUUGUAGUUCAAAAAUUGAGGUUCCUUCCUUUGUUUUCCUUCAUACAAUCUUGAUUGGCUGCUUCUGCUGUAAGCUAAAGUAAUUGUUCCAUUUAUGAACAAAUUGUCCCUAUGCAUAUUCUCAUGUUUUUCUUUUGAUUUAUUUUAGAAAAUGGUUUAGAGAUCGAGGAAGUCACUCGUGAGAAAGUGAAUUUCUUAGAAGAGCUUUUGAGCAGCACAUAAUUUGCUUACCAAUUAGCGGAUCUGAUGACUUCAGCAAAAGCAUAUGUCAUCCUUGCAAAGAGCAUGAUAAUCUUUCGCUUGCAUGGGAGCUUAGUUCGCAGAUAAGGAAUUGCCAAAGAUUGUUCUCUAAAGGGGCAGUUAGUGGGAGAGCAAUCACUUGCUUUAGUUAGUAAUUUAAAAACUUUGGACUCCAAUCAGUUAUGUAUAGUAGAAUCAAAUGUCAGUUAACAUAAACAUAAGGGGUCUUCCCAUGACAUGAUAUGUUAGCAUGGAUGUCCAUCGAGGCUGUGAUGCACUCUGCAUUUGUUUUAUUCAUGUAUAACUGUAAUCAUAUUAUAGUUUUUUUUGGGAAAUGUUUGCUCUAUACCCGAUCAUAUUCUAAAGCCACCAUUGAGUCUCAACCUGUCUUACUUAACAUUUGUAGUCACCUAUCUGUGUGUAGAGCUGCACUAGCUGUUCUUAUUGUCAGGUUCUGUUGGUGAGAACAUGUUCCAUUGGCAAGCGACCAUCAUGGGGCCUUCAGACACCCCAUUUGCAGGUGGGGUAUUCUUGGUGAACAUUCACUUCCCACCGGAUUACCCUUUCAAGCCACCAAAGGUGUCUUUCCACACCAAGGUUUUCGACCUGAACAUUAACGACAACAACAACAUUUGCCUUGGACAUUCUUAAGGAACAAUGUGGCAAAACUUAUUUCACGCUCUGUAGGAAAGGGAAACACCAUUCUUUCGCAUAAGCACGAUGGUUCGGCCAACUGAACAUGUCCCAGUCCACAACUAUGUAGCUGAGAACCUCAUAGGUAGAUUCACAGUAGUUAACUGUCUGCUUGAACAAACUGAUGCAGAUGUUUGUUCUAUGUAAAAGAUGACACUGUUGUUGGUUUUAAUACUGAAAUGUCAUCCUAACCAUUUUAGUAGCUAUGUCCAACACAUUCUAUUUUCAUUUCUCUAAAUGUUGGCAGCUGCUCUCCAAUACGUAUUACAUAGUUGUCUCAUGGUCUAUGUAAGGAAACCUUGAACCUGAAUGCGCAUAACUUUAGUUGCUCUACCUGUUUUUAGAGGAAUUAUAUUUAGAUGGGUUGAAUAUUGUCAUAAUAUAUGUCCAUAUGUAAGUAAUAUAGAAAUCACGUCACAACAUAUUUCUCCACAACAUAUAAGAUAAGAGGGUCAUAUUUGUGAGCUAAAAUAAUUUUGAUAGAUAAGAGGGUCAUAUUUGUGAGCUAGAAUAGUUUUGAUACCCACAACUCACCAUCUCCUUUUUUUUCUACUUUUCACCGUGCAAUGCAAAAUUGUUCUAAGAAGGUCAUGGUACAUCACCAUAUCAUAUAUUACCAACUUUUAGGAUUUGCCUAAUUCAAUUAAUAGUGAUAUUGAGCCAAAUUUUGGUUGUUCGAAAUGUCAGACUUGAAAGGGAAAUGUGCCCUUGGGCCAUUUCUAAGUAUUUUGGUGAUUGAGUGUCAACACGAGUGUUUAACUGUGAAUCAACGCCCAUGGAUGAACAAAGUGCAAAUCUAGAGAAAAGGUAUGUUUCUAAGUCUUAGUACAUUGGUUUUGUGUACUAAUAUAUUUGUCUAAGUGUUAGAAACAGAUAGAAGAAGAAAAGAGAAGACUUGGAUGUGUGCAGCCAAGGGGCUGUUUCGGUCUGGGGCACCGGACUGUCCGGUGGUGCACCAGACAGUGUCCGGUGGUGCACCGGACAGUGUCCGGUGCACCAGGAUGCCUUGGCCGAAGAGGCCGCUCUCGGGUUUUUUCUCCGGCGACUUCGGCUAAAAUUCACCGGACUGUCCGGUGUGCACCGGACUGUCCGGUGAGCCAACGGUCGGCCGGGCCAACGGUCGGCCGCGCGAUCGGCGCGCGACACGUGGCCGAGCCAACGGUCGGAAUGGGGCACCGGACUGUCCGGUGUGCACCGGACAUGUCCGGUGCGCCAACGGCGCCCAGAUCUGCAUCAGAAAGCAACGGUCGGAUGAGCUUUUUAUGGAAACAAAUCGGGCACCGGACAGUGUCCGGUGUGCACCGGACUGUCCGGUGCGCCCGACGACAGAAGGCAAGGAUAGCCUUCCAGAUGUGUUCUCAACGGCUCCUAGCUGCCUUGGGGCUAUAAAAGGGACCCCUAGGCGCAUGGAGGAGUACACCAAGCAUUCCUACAACUCUUCUAAGCACCAAGACACCAAUCUCACGCAUCCGUUUCAUUGUGAUAGCAUAUAGAGCUCUUGUGGAGUUGUGAACUCUUUGUGUUGCGUUGCGAGCUCUUGUUGCGACUUGUGUGCGUGUUGUUGCUCUGAUUUUCGAGUCUUGUGUGCGUUGCUCAUUCCCACCUUACUCCGUAUUUCUUUGUGAACUCAAUUGUAAGGGCGAGAGACUCCAAGUUGUGGAGAUUCCUCGCAAACGGGAAAAGAUCAAAGGAAAGAGAAACACCGUGGUAUUCAAGUUGAUCAUUGGAUCACUUGAGAGGAGUUGAGUGCAACUCUCGUCCGUUGGGACGCCACAACGUGGAGUAGGCAAGUUUCGUACUUGGCCGAACCACGGGA
This is a long non-coding RNA of Zea mays, 7614 nucleotides long. RefSeq lists it as uncharacterized. Lineage: Eukaryota; Viridiplantae; Streptophyta; Magnoliopsida; Poales; Poaceae. The record is from RefSeq and is a predicted model, not a curated record. The transcript is spliced from 7 exons.